AAGGGCUGAAUGCGAAAUAGACCCUUCCACAAAAACACGCAGAUCCUGCUAGCGGGUCGGGUCGGCUGGAUCGAGUUAGGUCAAAAAGACGCCGUUUUGGGCAUCUGAGACCACCCCAAAACGGUACUGUUUUGGUAUCCUAUAAAAACCCUAAAAUUUCCAAAAAAAUUCAUUUUAACCUCUUACUUAAAAAGAAAAAAGAAAACUCUCCAAAACUCUCCCCUUACCCCCUAAGUUCGGUCCAGGGUCCGGUCAUCUUUCGGUCACUGGUCAUCAUCUCGACUGCAGGCCGCCGGCGACGGCGCUACCGUAUGCGG
This 317-nucleotide long non-coding RNA is filed under the name Gossypium raimondii (Peruvian cotton). RNAcentral's name for it is "long non-coding RNA (GRAI_LNC001699)". The record is from RNAcentral. Lineage: Eukaryota; Viridiplantae; Streptophyta; Magnoliopsida; Malvales; Malvaceae.